Molecule: ribosomal RNA, 301 nt
Filed under: uncultured bacterium
Lineage: Bacteria
Description: partial 16S ribosomal RNA
Rfam family: Bacterial small subunit ribosomal RNA
Source: RNAcentral
CAGUCGCCGCGGUAAUACAGAGGGUGCAAGCGUUAAUCGGAAUUACUGGGCGUAAAGCGCGCGUAGGUGGUUUGUUAAGUUGGAUGUGAAAUCCCCGGGCUCAACCUGGGAACUGCAUCCAAAACUGGCAGGCUAGAGUAGGGCAGAGGGUGGUGGAAUUUCCUGUGUAGCGGUGAAAUGCGUAGAUAUAGGAAGGAACACCAGUGGCGAAGGCGACCACCUGGGCUCAUACUGACACUGAGGUGCGAAAGCGUGGGGAGCAAACAGGAUUAGAUACCCCUGUAGUCCCUGUCUCUUAUAC